RNAcentral lists this ribosomal RNA (465 nucleotides) under uncultured bacterium. Its description in RNAcentral is "partial 16S ribosomal RNA". It matches the Rfam family "Bacterial small subunit ribosomal RNA", at positions 29 to 507 of the family's 1533-position model. The record is from RNAcentral.
AUGAACGCUGGCGGCGUGCUUCACACCUGCAAGUCGAACGAUGAAGCCCAGCUUGCUGGGUGGAUUAGUGGCGAACGGGUGAGUAACACGUGAGUAACCUGCCCUUAACUCUGGGAUAAGCCUGGGAAACUGGGUCUAAUACCGGAUAGGAGCGUCCACCGCAUGGUGGGUGUUGGAAAGAUUUAUCGGUUUUGGAUGGACUCGCGGCCUAUCAGCUUGUUGGUGAGGUAAUGGCUCACCAAGGCGACGACGGGUAGCCGGCCUGAGAGGGUGACCGGCCACACUGGGACUGAGGCACGGCCCAGACUCCUACGGGAGGCAGCAGUGGGGAAUAUUGCACAAUGGGCGCAAGCCUGAUGCAGCGACGCCGCGUGAGGGAUGACGGCCUUCGGGUUGUAAACCUCUUUCAGUAGGGAAGAAGCGAAAGUGACGGUACCUGCAGAAGAAGCACCGGCUAACUACGUG